CGAUAACGAACGAGACCUCGACCUGCUAAAUAGUUCUUGUCAUCGAGAGAUGGCUGGAUACUUCUUAGAGGGACUAUCGGUGGUUAGCCGAUGGAAGUUCGAGGCAAUAACAGGUCUGUGAUGCCCUUAGAUGUUCUGGGCUGCACGCGCGCUACACUGAUACGUUCAUCGAGCUCCUACCUUGACUGAAAAGUCUGGGUAAUCUUCGCAACGCGUAUCGUGAUGGGGAUAGAUUAUUGUAAUUUUUGAUCUUCAACGAGGAAUUCCUAGUAAACGCGCGUCAUUAACGCGCAUUGAUUACGUCCCUGCCCUUUGUACACACCGCCCGUCGCUACUACCGAUUGAAUGGCUA
This 352-nucleotide ribosomal RNA is filed under the name uncultured eukaryote. Its description in RNAcentral is "SSU rRNA". It matches the Rfam family "Eukaryotic small subunit ribosomal RNA", at positions 1326 to 1699 of the family's 1831-position model. The record is from RNAcentral.